UACGGCCUGCGCUGGGCCGCGGCGCCGGAGCGGCUCGAUGGGCCGCGACAGCGCCGGUUCGAGACCGGCCGUCGUGA
Molecule: transfer RNA, 77 nt
Filed under: Rhodoplanes serenus
Lineage: Bacteria; Pseudomonadati; Pseudomonadota; Alphaproteobacteria; Hyphomicrobiales; Nitrobacteraceae
Also listed under: 1 other name
Description: tRNA-Ile(gat)
Source: RNAcentral